Acanthosepion pharaonis is the source of this 113-nucleotide non-coding RNA. NCBI's taxonomy places the organism in Eukaryota, Metazoa, Mollusca, Cephalopoda, Sepiida, Sepiidae. The record is from the annotation of a GenBank genome assembly.
UACGGCCAUAUCACGUUGAAAGACCUGUUCGGGUACGAUCACUGAAGUUAUGCAACGUCGUUCCUGGUCAGUACUUAGAUGGGUGACCGCUUGGGAAUACUAUGUGCUGUAAU